AGCGAACGCUGGCGGCAUGCUCAACACAUGCAAGUCGCACGGGCAGCCAUGUCAGUGGCGGACGGGUGAGUAACGCGUAGGAACGUGUCCUGAGGUGGGGGACAACCCCGGGAAACUGGGGCUAAUACCGCAUAUGGGCUGAGGCCCAAAGCCGAGAGGCGCCUUUGGAGCGGCCUGCGUCCGAUUAGGUAGUUGGUGGGGUAAAGGCCUACCAAGCCUGCGAUCGGUAGCUGGUCUGAGAGGACGACCAGCCACACUGGGACUGAGACACGGCCCAGACUCCUACGGGAGGCAGCAGUGGGGAAUAUUGGACAAUGGGCGAAAGCCUGAUCCAGCAAUGCCGCGUGGGUGAAGAAGGUCUUCGGAUCGUAAAGCCCUUUCGACGGGGACGAUGAUGACGGUACCCGUAGAAGAAGCCCCGGCUAACUUCGUG
RNAcentral lists this ribosomal RNA (433 nucleotides) under uncultured bacterium. Its description in RNAcentral is "partial 16S ribosomal RNA". It matches the Rfam family "Bacterial small subunit ribosomal RNA", at positions 30 to 507 of the family's 1533-position model. The record is from RNAcentral.